This 464-nucleotide ribosomal RNA is filed under the name uncultured bacterium. RNAcentral's name for it is "partial 16S ribosomal RNA". It matches the Rfam family "Bacterial small subunit ribosomal RNA", at positions 29 to 507 of the family's 1533-position model. The record is from RNAcentral.
ACGAACGCUGGCGGCGUGCUUAACCCAUGCAAGUCGAACGGAAAGGCCCUGCUUGCAGGGUACUCGAGUGGCGAACGGGUGAGUAACACGUGGGUGAUCUGCCCUGCACUUCGGGAUAAGCCUGGGAAACUGGGUCUAAUACCGGAUAGGAGCCAUUUUUAGUGUGAUGGUUGGAAAGUUUUUUCGGUGUAGGAUGAGCUCGCGGCCUAUCAGCUUGUUGGUGGGGUAAUGGCCUACCAAGGCGGCGACGGGUAGCCGGCCUGAGAGGGUGGACGGCCACAUUGGGACUGAGAUACGGCCCAGACUCCUACGGGAGGCAGCAGUGGGGAAUAUUGCACAAUGGGCGCAAGCCUGAUGCAGCGACGCCGCGUGGGGGAUGACGGCCUUCGGGUUGUAAACUCCUUUCGCUAGGGACGAAGCUUUUUGUGACGGUACCUAGAUAAGAAGCACCGGCUAACUACGUG